Molecule: long non-coding RNA, 1685 nt
Organism: Esox lucius (northern pike)
Lineage: Eukaryota; Metazoa; Chordata; Actinopteri; Esociformes; Esocidae
Source: Ensembl
CCUCAAUCAGCAUUUUACAUUCAUUACUGCAUGUCUGCAAUUUUUCUUUUUUUAUUAAAGAACGCCAUCAGGCCAUUAAAUAUUAACAAAAUGAAGAAGAAAAAAAAAAGAACUCUCAGGCCGGAUGACAGACGCUAAAUCAAUAUCUCGAUAUUUAUUCAGCUACAUACCUUAAUUUUGUAACCUGUCAUAUUUUUUUUUUCAGGUCCAGGCCAUUACAAGCAUUCCAACAGCCUUCUACUGACAAUGUCCUAGCCUGUGCACUUACACUGGUCGGCAGAGGUUUUAUAGUUCAUGUCGUAAACUCUCCAGCGAUCCGACAGGACUGCUGACUGCAGGCUAGGUCGGCUUUGGCAGUCGUCAUGUGUUUUCUGCUGUGUUUGGUUUGGCCAGCAUCCCCCACGGCUUGAAUGUUGACACAUUCAUAAACAAUACCUGACGUGUCCCAGGUUAAAGAGUAAAACAGAGCAAAGCCCUGACAAAGAUAAGUGGCCUUAUAGACACUUAUAGACCGCGUUGUGGUAUAAAAUCCUCCUGUGCGAGUGGGUUCUCGUCAUUCACCUGGCCAAUUCGUCUCGCCUGCGUGAGAGCGCGCCUUCACAUGAUACCUGCUCUGUUCUCGUGUUGAAAUACAGUACUUUCUGUUGGUCAAGCAUCAGACACCAGAGUGACACACAUCCUUGUUUUGGGCUAAGAGAGGAAACACUAAUUAGUGGCUCUCUGAAUGGAAAAGCUGUGUGUGUGUGUGCUGUUUUAUGUCCUUGUCACACUCUCUCACGCUUCCCCUCCGCGCCCCACUGGUGUCUGUCCUGCAGGACAGUCUCAGCCCUACAAGGUUAGGACAAGAGGAACUAUUUUUGCAUUACUAUAACUUUUUGCGUUACUAUUCAGCUAGGGACCAACUUCCGUGUUCAGUUACUAAAGGGGGUGACUGAGAGCAGCGCAAAAACAUCGCCGUCAUAGUGAAAUAUUAACACAAUCGGAAUGCAUUUCUGCAGGCUAACGCAUGAAAACGUAGCAUUACUGCUUUAUUACGACUCUAUUCCAUUGGGCGUUUGAAAGGAUUCUUUUCUACAGCCAGUUACAAUUUGAUAUCCUGAACACUGGGCAACGUUUUCCAGCAACAUGCUGGUCCCAAUCAUUUGUUUAUUCUCAAACAGUUCCAUGUGGAAUCUUGUGUUGUCCUGACCUUGGAGUGUUGAACCUAGACUCAACUAAACAGGAAAAGAAGAGGCAAGGCUUUGUCUAUAAUGAGUGUGCGCUCUGUGUUUGUGAGCGUCCGCGUAUGUGUGUGAAGGCGCAUACGUGUCCACUGUUCAGCCACAGCUGCCCACUGCUCGAAAACAGGCAACCGAAAAGGCCGGAAUGUAAACAGCUUUGAAGUCUUAUAGUCUCUCCAUUUCUCCUCUGUUCCUCUGAGCCGAGGGCGUGGGGCCGUUGAGGCGGAGAGAGAAGUCUCUCAUCUGCCCCAACAGAGCCAGUAGCUACAGUGAAAAUGGCCCCUUGAACUCUUUAAAUGUUCACGUCCACCUAAAACAGAGAAUGCGGUCAUUAAAGUUCCAGGCAUUCCUUUAAACGUACCACCUCAAAGGAAAGGACCUGGUGGCACAAGUUGAACCAACAACAUAUAUUAUUUUAGUGCUCUGCCUGCUCUAAACUGUGCUUUUCAAUGACAAUUUUCAAGC